GGGUAUAGUUCAGUUGGUAGAGCGUUGGUCUCCAAAACCAAAUGUCGUGGGUUCAAGUCCUACUGCCC
This 68-nucleotide transfer RNA is filed under the name uncultured Butyrivibrio sp. It matches the Rfam family "tRNA". Rfam says of the family: Transfer RNA (tRNA) molecules are approximately 80 nucleotides in length. Their secondary structure includes four short double-helical elements and three loops (D, anti-codon, and T loops). RNAcentral also lists the same sequence under 1 other name. Lineage: Bacteria; Bacillati; Bacillota; Clostridia; Lachnospirales; Lachnospiraceae. The record is from RNAcentral.